This is a long non-coding RNA of Daucus carota subsp. sativus, 537 nucleotides long. RefSeq lists it as uncharacterized. The record is from RefSeq and is a predicted model, not a curated record. Lineage: Eukaryota; Viridiplantae; Streptophyta; Magnoliopsida; Apiales; Apiaceae. The transcript is spliced from 2 exons.
UUAUCUCGCACGUACAAUCAUUUCGUCCGUUUCUCUGCACGAAUACCGAGAGAAAACGAACGGGUGUUCUUCGUGUUCUUCACAAUCAAACGAGGAUUUGAAGGCGUUAUUGGAAUCCGAUGGAGGCGUAUGAAUAGUCAAAACGAAGCUCUCGACGCGUAGAAUCUAUUGUAGUCAUCCAUAUCAGUGCUGAAUCAACAGAAAAGCUUAGAGAUGAAUUGCUUGAUUGAGGUUGCGAGUAUGACUAAGGCUAAGCGAGGAGUCAGAGUUAUAGAACAUCCAGAGGACAAGUGGAAUGUCCAUGGAGAUUGUCAAGGUUGGUUCUAGAUAGAAUUGUAUUGAUGAGAUUCAGUUGUAAGUCAUAAUUGAGGUAGACUGGCAGUGAUUCUUCUUAUCGAAGAUGAUCUGAGUUUGUAAGAUAAUGUUUAUUAAUAGUGGUUGAUUCUAAUUUCAAUACUGUAACCUGGAUGCGAUCCUGUUUUUAGGGGGUUAAAGUGUUUUCUUUUAAAUCUUUUACUAAAGUUUUCAGGUUUUAAA